UAAUAUAUUAUCUUUAUAUUUACAAGAAUAUUAUUAUUUAAUAUAUUAUCUUUAUAUUUACA
Molecule: transfer RNA, 62 nt
Filed under: Trillium govanianum
Lineage: Eukaryota; Viridiplantae; Streptophyta; Magnoliopsida; Liliales; Melanthiaceae
Description: tRNA-Ile
Source: RNAcentral